This 29-nucleotide non-coding RNA is filed under the name Mus musculus (house mouse). The record is from RNAcentral. Lineage: Eukaryota; Metazoa; Chordata; Mammalia; Rodentia; Muridae.
UACAUUUUUCAGAGUAUUGUUGUAAGGAC